RNAcentral lists this transfer RNA (73 nucleotides) under Camelus bactrianus (Bactrian camel). It matches the Rfam family "tRNA". From Rfam's summary of the family: Transfer RNA (tRNA) molecules are approximately 80 nucleotides in length. Their secondary structure includes four short double-helical elements and three loops (D, anti-codon, and T loops). Lineage: Eukaryota; Metazoa; Chordata; Mammalia; Artiodactyla; Camelidae. The record is from Rfam by way of RNAcentral. RNAcentral also lists the same sequence under 1 other name.
GAGGGUGUAGCUCAAGUGGUAGAGCGCACGCUUAGCAUGUGUGAGGUCCUGGGUUCGAUCCCCAGCGCCUCCC